AACAGAACAUGUAGGAACAGAACAGCAUGUUGGAGCAGAACAGCAUGUUGGAACAGAACAGCAUGUUGGAGCAGAACAGCAUGUUGGAACAGAACAGCAUGUUGGAGCAGAACAGCAUGUUGGAACAGCAUGUUGGAACAGAACAGCAUGUUGGAACAGCAUGUUGGAACAGCAUGUUGGAACAGAACAGCAUGUUGGAACAGAACAGCAUGUUGGAACAGAACAGCAUGUUGGAACAGAACAGCAUGUAGGAACAGAACAGCAUGUUGGAACAGAACAGCAUGUUGGAACAGAACAGCAUGUUGGAACAGAACAGCAUGUUGGAACAGAACAGCAUGUUGGAACAGCAUGUUGGAACAGAACAGCAUGUAGGAACAGAACAGCAUGUUGGAGCAGAACAGCAUGUUGGAGCAGAACAGCAUGUUGGAACAGAACAGCAUGUUGGAACAGAACAGCAUGUUGGAACAGAACAGCAUGUUGGAACAGCAGUAUUACUGUUGGUACAGUGAUUACCUAUUGUCACUGUGUCUAAAUUGGGAGCCGUGUCAGAUGACUGGUCUGACGUCAGUAGAGUCGGAUGUCAAGAGGUUCUGUUUCUAUUGGUCCUGUUUCCUGUGAGGCCAGUCAAGAGGUUCUGUUUCUAUUGGUCCUGUUUCCUGUGAGGCCAGUCAAGAGGUUCUGUUUCUAUUGGUCCUGUUUCCUGUGAGGCCAGUCAAGAGGUUCUGUUUCUAUUGGUCCUGUUUCCUGUGAGGCCAGUCAAGAGGUUCUGUUUCUAUUGGUCCUGUUUCCUGUGAGGCCAGUCAAGAGGUUCUGUUUCUAUUGGUCCUGUUUCCUGUGAGGCCAGUCAAGAGGUUCUGUUUCUAUUGGUCCUGUUUCCUGUGAGGCCAGUCACGAGGUUCUGUUUCUAUUGGUCCUGUUUCCUGUGAGGCCAGUCACGAGGUUCUGUUUCUAUUGGUCCUGUUUCCUGUGAGGCCAGUCAAGAGGUUCUGUUUCUAUUGGUCCUGUUUCCUGUGAGGCCAGUCAAGAGGUUCUGUUUCUAUUGGUCCUGUUUCCUGUGAGACCAGUCAAGAGGUUCUGUUUCUAUUGGUCCUGUUUCCUGUGAGGCCAGUCAAGAGGUUAUGUUUCUAUUGGUCCUGUUUCCUGUGAGGCCAGUCAAGAGGUUCUGUUUCUAUUGGUCCUGUUUCCUGUGAGGCCAGUCAAGAGGUUCUGUUUCUAUUGGUCCUGUUUCCUGUGAGGCCAGUCAAGAGGUUCUGUUUCUAUUGGUCCUGUUUCCUGUGAGGCCAGUCAAGAGGUUCUGUUUCUAUUGGUCCUGUUUCCUGUGAGACCAGUCAAGAGGUUCUGUUUCUAUUGGUCCUGUUUCCUGUGAGGCCAGUCAAGAGGUUCUGUUUCUAUUGGUCCUGUUUCCUGUGAGACCAGUCAAGAGGUUCUGUUUCUAUUGGUCCUGUUUCCUGUGAGACCAGUCAAGAGGUUCUGUUUCUAUUGGUCCUGUUUCCUGUGAGACCAGUCAAGAGGUUCUGUUUCUAUUGGUCCUGUUUCCUGUGAGGCCAGUCAAGAGGUUCUGUUUCUAUUGGUCCUGUUUCCUGUGAGGCCAGUCAAGAGGUUCUGUUUCUAUUGGUCCUGUUUCCUGUGAGGCCAGUCAAGAGGUUCUGUUUCUAUUGGUCCUGUUUCCUGUGAGACCAGUCAAGAGGUUCUGUUUCUAUUGGUCCUGUUUCCUGUGAGGCCAGUCAAGAGGUUCUGUUUCUAUUGGUCCUGUUUCCUGUGAGACCAGUCAAGAGGUUCUGUUUCUAUUGGUCCUGUUUCCUGUGAGACCAGUCAAGAGGUUCUGUUUCUAUUGGUCCUGUUUCCUGUGAGACCAGUCAAGAGGUUCUGUUUCUAUUGGUCCUGUUUCCUGUGAGACCAGUCCAGAGGUUGUUUCUCCAGCGCGUCAGUCUUUCUGUAGUUCAGUCAUGUAGCUGCACAUCAGCAAACAUCCUCACGUUCUUGUCCUCUACUUUGAAAGUCUGUUUUCAAUACAGCAUCACAAGACAAAAUUAUCAGGAAAUUCAAUUUUCUUUGAUUAAACAACCAUAUCAAUAGUUUGGAAAUUAUUAACUUAAUAACAAAUCAAAAAAAUACACAGUCCCAGUCAAAAGUUAGGACACACCUACUCAUUCAAGGGCUCUUCUUUAUUUCUACUAUUUUCUACAUUGUAGAAUAAUAAUGAACACAUCAACACUAUGAAAUAACACAUAUGGAAUCAUGCAGUAACCAAAUCAAAAUAUAUUUUAGA
This is a long non-coding RNA of Oncorhynchus keta (chum salmon), 2269 nucleotides long. RefSeq lists it as uncharacterized. The transcript is spliced from 3 exons. The record is from RefSeq and is a predicted model, not a curated record. NCBI's taxonomy places the organism in Eukaryota, Metazoa, Chordata, Actinopteri, Salmoniformes, Salmonidae.